CUUCAAAAAUCUUCACCUGAUCGUUUUUAAUGAGUUUUCAAACUUGAAAAACUGAUUUACCAAGGAUAAUUUAGGAAGAACAUUAUAAUUAAACACGUUAAGGAUAAUUUAAGAAAAACAUAAUUUGAUGAAGUUUUUAAAGGGUUUGCUUUAUAGCACUAGAGAUACACAGUUAGAUAAAGCCCAAGAUAUAAAUCACUGGCCUAAAUAUCUAAUUCUUUUCCCGCCUUUGUCUAGGGUUAAAAAUUCGAACCCACCCGAAAAGCGGAAAAAAAAAAAAAAUCGAACCAUUUCAUUUCAGACUUUCAACUUCCCAAAACCAAAAACCAGAAGCACAAAUUUCUAGGGUUCCGAUCUAUCACCGACCCCAAAUCUCUCCAAAAUUGGUCACCGAAUAGCGCCCGUAGCUCUCCGGCGAGCGCAGCUAUGUACAUCAAGGAGGUGACCUUGGAAGGAUUCAAGUCCUACGCGACGCGGACGGUGGUGCCGGGAUUCGACCCGUUUUUCAAGGCCAUAACCGGGCUAAACGGGUCGGGUAAGUCCAACAUUCUCGACUCGAUUUGCUUCGUUCUGGGCAUCACCAAUUUACAGCAAGUGAGGGCCGCCAAUCUGCAGGAGCUGGUGUAUAAGCAAGGCCAGGCCGGAAUUACUAAGGCCACCGUGUCGAUUGUCUUCGACAAUUCGGACCGGGCGCGCAGUCCUCUCGGGUAGGAGGCCCAUUCGGAGCUCACCGUCACACGGCAGAUUGUGGUUGGUGGGAGGAACAAGUACUUGAUCAACGGGAAACUUGCGCAGCCGAGUCAGGUCCAGAAUCUUUUUCAUUCGGUGCAGCUCAAUGUGAAUAAUCCGCAUUUUCUGAUUAUGCAAGGCCGGAUUACCAAGGUUUUGAAUAUGAAACCGCCGGAGAUUUUGUCUAUGCUUGAAGAGGCUGCCGGGACGAGAAUGUAUGAGACCAAAAAGGAAGCGGCUCUUAAAACACUUGAGAAGAAGCAGAGUAAAGUUGAGGAGAUUAAUAAGCUUCUUGACCAUGAGAUACUGCCUGCGUUGGACAAGUUGAGGAGAGAAAGGACACAGUAUAUGCAAUGGGCUAAUGGCAAUGCUGACUUGGAUCGGCUCAAGAGGUUUUGCAUUGCUUAUGAAUAUGUUCAAGCGGAGAGGAUUAGGGACAGUGCAGUUUGUGAGGUGGAACAUGUGAAGGCCAAAAUUUCUGAGGUUGAUGAUGAUACCAGAAAGAUGCAGGCAACAAUAAAGGAAAUGGAAACACAAGUGUCCAAGUUGACUGCUGAAAAGGAGGCUAGUAUGGGUGGAGAAGUAAAAAAUCUGUCUAACCAAGUAGAUGCGCUUUCUCAAGAUGUAGUGAGGGAAGUGUCUAUACUGGAUAAUAUGACGGACAAUCUUGACACUGAAAAUGAAAAUGCUAGAAAGAUUGCUAGCAACAUUGAAGACAUGAAACAGUCUCUAAAAGAUAGGGACUGUGCUAUAAGAAAUGCUGAAGAAGGAGCUGCUGAUUUGAAAAAGAGAGCGGAGGAACUUUCUCAUAGUCUGAAUGAGUAUGAGACUCAGUACCAGGGUGUAAUCGCUGGCAAGAGUAGUGGAAAUGAGGAUAAAUGCCUCGAAGAUCAAUUGGGUGAUGCCAAAAGAGCUGUAGGGAGUGCUGAAACAGAACUGGAACAGUUGAAAACAAAAAUUCGUCACUGUGAAAAGGAGUUGAAAGAGAAAGACCGAUCAUCUGAGUUGGAGUGUGUGCAGAAGUUGAAGGAGGAAAUGCGUAAUCUUUCAGGACACUUGGGAAACGUUGACUUUUCUUAUAGAGAUCCUGUGAACAAUUUUGAUAGGUCUAAGGUCAAGGGUGUUGUUGCAAGACUUAUCAAAGUGAAGGAUAGCUCCACAAUGACUGCCUUAGAGGUCACUGCCGGUGGAAAGUUAUUUAAUGUUGUUGUAGACACGGAAAGUACUCGAAAGCAACUUCUUCAGAAUGUUCGUCCUGCCCCUUUUCUUUCCUCCCAAUGGGGUGGUUUGUAUACUAAAAACCUUGAUUCUAUGAUCAGGGGUGGGGGUGAUCUGUUAAGGCAGCUUCAUGAGCUGGCUGAAGCUGAGCUAAAACUCUCUGAGCAUCAGAAAAAGUUGACUGAGAUUGAAGCUAAGAUAAGAGAGAUUCAGCCUCUUCACAAGAAGUUCAUGGAGCUUAAACAACAGUUAGAACUCAAAUCAUAUGACCUUAAAUUAUUUCAGGGCAGGGCUGAACAAAAUGAGCAUCAUAAGCUUGGUGAAUUAGUAAAGAGGAUUGAGCAAGAGCUACAAGAAGCUAAUACUGCGGCCAAAGAAAAGAAACUUUUGCAUGAAGAUUGUGUGAAUAAAGUGUCAUUUCUUGAGAAAUCAAUCAAAGAGCAUGACAACAGUCGGGAGGAGAGGCUGAAAGAUUUGGAAAAGAAGAUCAAAGAAACAAAAGCUCUACUCCAGUCAGCUUCAAAGGAUCUCAAGGGACAUGAAAAUGAAAAGGAGAAGCUUAUUAUGGAAAAGGAUGUUGUUUUAAAAGAGCUUGCUUCUUUGGAGACUCAGUUGUCUUCUUUGAGAGAACAAAUUGAUGGACUCAUUUCAGAAGUAGAAGAACAGAAAGAGAAGGUAAAUUCUACAAGAAAUAAGCAUGAUCAUGCAAAAUCCCAUUUUGAUUCAAUUCGUAUGAAGAUGAAGGAGUGUAAUUCCCGAAUUAAUGGCAUUGAAUCUGAGCAGCAAAGACUUCAAGACAAACUUCACGAGACAAAUCUUGAACGGAAGAGGAUGGAAAACGAGGUUGAUGCAGCUCUUGAUCUAAGUCACACCCAGAAUAUUGGAAGAAUGAUCAAAAGUCAUUUCCCACACUCCCAGUUCAUUGUGGUUUCACUGAAAGAAGGCAUGUUCAAUAAUGCUAAUGUCCUUUUCCGGACAAAUUUUGAAUACCAUCGAUUGUACAAAAAAGAAACGAUGGGGGAGGCUGUUCUUGGUGCAUUCCUCCCGGUGCUGCUUAAGAAGUUGGCGGAUCAAGAGAUCACUGAGUACUUCGGACGCCUUAAGGGGGUCGACAAAAAGGUGCUGGAGAAAUGGACUAGAACGUUGACGGCCGUUGAAGCGGUGCUGAGUGAUGCUGAGGAGAAGCAACUAACACAAAGUCGAGUGAAACUGUGGCUAGAUGAUCUCAGAGAUUUGGCUUACGAUGUUCAAGAUGUAUUGGACAUAUUUGAUACUAAAAUGCUGAAGCGGAGGAUAGAAAGACAACAAGGAAGCAAAAGCAAGUUAUGGAGCUCACUCUCUAAAGUUAAGUCCAAUUUUGAUCUGAACUCAGCAAUCAAGAAGAUAAGUGAUCGACUUGAGGAGAUAACUACUCGAAAGAAGCAGUUUGGUUUGAAGGAACUUGAUAGACCCACUAAAAAGCCAUGGAAAAUGCCACUCACUACUUCUCAACCUGAUGGACCUGUGAUCGGAAGGGAUGAAGCAAACGAUAAGAUUCUCUAUGAUUUGCUUUCAAAAGAAGAGAAGUAUCAUGUGGUUGGUAUUGUCGGUACUGGAGGACUAGGAAAGACAACACUUGCUAAACAUGUAUUCAACGAUGCUGCAACUGGCCAGUUUUCCCCAAAAGGAUGGGUAUCUGUGUCAGACGACUUUGACAUUGUAAGGGUGGCAGCAGCCGUUUUGGAAUCAGUCACGUCAGCUCCAGUUCAGGUCAAGGAGCUUAACUCAAUUCUGGAGAAGUUAAGUAAGGAAUUGGCUGGCAAGAAGUUUUUAAUUGUUCUUGAUGAUGUCUGGGACACUUGUAGCUAUGGUCAUUGGACUACACUGCAGGCCUCCUUUCGUGUUGGAGCAGCUGGAAGUAAGAUCAUCGUGACAACACGUGACGCCAAUGUCGCAAAUAUGAUGGGAGAUAGGAGCCCUUAUAACUUGAAGCCGAUGUCAGAAGAUGAUUGUUGGAGACUCUUUCAGCACCAUGCUCUCUUAAAUAACAGACCUGAAGAUGUUGAGUUCCUUAAAGGAAAAAUUGUAGAAAAAUGCAACGGGCUACCGUUAGCUGCAAGGACUCUUGGUGGGCUUUUACGUUGUAAAGAAGUAGACGAAUGGGAAGACAUAUUAGACCACAAGAUGUGGACUCUAUCAGACCAGAACAAGAUGGAUAUCCUUCCAGCAUUAAAACUGAGCUAUCAUUAUCUCCCUUCGACUUUGAAACGGUGUUUCUCCUACUGUGCAAUACUUCCAAAUGAUUAUGAAUUUAAGGAGAUGCAAUUGAUCCUUUGGUGGAUGGCAGAAGGUUUGAUUCCGCAGCAACCCAAAGAACAUAAGCAAAUGGAAGAUUUGGGACGUGACUAUUUUCAAGAGUUGGUGUCCAGGUCAUUAUUUCAAAAAUCAAGCAAAACAGAGUCGCGAUACAUAAUGCAUGACCUGGUUACUGAUUUGGCUCGUUGGGCUGCAGGAAGUUCAUGUUGUAGAUUGGAGGACAUGCAGAAUUAUGACUCGCAGCAACAUUCAUGUUUGCCCAAGAUUCGUCAUUCAUCUUACAUUCUUGGAGUGUGUGACGGGGUUAAGAAGUUCGAGGUCUAUUCUGAAGCUAUAUGUUUGCGGACAUUCUUACCACUUUCACUUGGGUCACUUCCAGAUUCUCAUUAUCUGGCUCAGAAGGUUACUUCUAAUUUAUUUCCCAAACUCCAAUACUUACGACUCCUCUCUUUGAAAAGUUAUCAAAUAAUCGAGUUGCCAGAUACAAUUGGUGAAUUGAAGCAUCUACGGUAUCUUGAUCUCUCCCACACUGGGAUAAGAAGUUUGCCAGACUCGACAACAACUCUGUACAACUUGCAGACAUUGUUAUUGGAAAGUUGUCACCAGUUGAAGGCACUGCCCACAAGCAUGAGGAACCUAGUUAAUUUGCGUCAUCUCAACAAUUCAGGUACACGGUCAUUGGAAGAAAUGCCUCCUCAGCUUGGUCAAUUGACUAACCUCCAAACAUUGCCUGAGUUUGUUAUUGGCAAAGGUAGUGGAUCAGGAGUAAGAGAGAUCGAGUCAUUAUUGCAUCUGCAAGGGACAUUGCACAUCUCAAGACUAGAAAAUGUGAUUUGUGUCGAGGAUGCCAGGAGUGCCAACUGCUUAAAGAGCAAGGAAAGGCUUGAAGCCCUAUUUCUUGAAUGGUCUUCUUCGAGUGUCUCAACAGAAGAUGCAGCAAUUGUGCUUGACAUGUUACAGCCUCAUAGCAAGCUCAAAAAGCUCACCAUCAAAGAUUAUGGUGGAUCGAAAUUUUCAACAUGGAUUGGGAAUCCUUCAUUCACAAAAAUGGUGCGGGUAAAGUUAGAAGGUUGUAAUCAUUGUCAAUUGUUGCCACCAUUCGGACAGUUGCCUUGUCUCAAAGAACUUUGUAUACAAGAAAUGGAUGCAGUGGAGAGUGUUGGUGUUGAGUUUUAUGGAGAAGGUAAAUUGUCGUUUCGAGCUUUAGAGACCCUGGAGUUACAUAAUCUGAAAAAUUGGAAGAAGUGGUAUCCUUGCCAACAAAGUGAGGGUGUUGAAGUUUUCUCUUGCCUGAAAAAGCUUUCCAUCAGGGGCUGCCCCAAAUUGGAGGGUGAUUUACCAGAGAAGCUUGAUUCAUUAGCACAGCUUGAGAUAUAUGGAUGUGAGGAAUUGGUGGUUUCAGUAUCUAAAUACAAACAGCUUCAUGGAUCAAACAUUGAAAAGUGCAAGAUGGUGGUGUACGACACAAGUACAGUUCAGUUUGAGUUACUAGAGAGUUUGACAUAUUCAAAUGUAUCAGAAUUGAGAUUCCAAACAGAGUCGUUCAUGAAAAGCUUGAAAAAUGUUAAAGAGUUGAAGAUCACUCGUUGUGAGGAGCUUACAUGUUGCUUUCAAAACGAGGAUAGAUUACUGCAACACUUGAUUUCUCUUAGUCGUCUGUAUAUCGAAGACAACUCGAUCCUUGUUGAAAAGCUAGGGAUUGAAGCAGAGCAGUUGUUGCAAUUGCAAAUCCUGGAUUGCAAUAUUGAACGUCUGGAAUUAAGCAAGUGUGGAAGCCUUGUGAAGGUACCAGAAGGAUUGCAUCACCUUAGAUCACUUCAAGAGCUGCACAUAAGUGGAUGUUCAAGUCUUGUUUCUUUUCCGGAUGUUGGUCUGCCACCUUGUCUUCAAGAGCUGCACAUAAGUGAAUGUUCAAGUCUUGUUUCUUUUCCGGAUGUUGGUCUGCCACCUUGUCUCCAAGACAUAGUGAUUCAGGACUGCGAAUCUCUGUUGCACUUUGCAAAAUACCAGAUUCCUCCCAGCCUAAAAAGAAUAGAUAUCUGGAAUUGUGGGAAUUUGAAGUCAUUAAUAGAGAAAGAGGAGGAGCUGGAGUUAAUAACUGAGAGGUUCCUCGAUGACAGCUGCCAACUCGAAGAAAUUGACAUCGAGAACUGCCCAAACCUGAAAUCCUUACCCGAGGGACUGUGCCACCUCACCAAUCUUCAGUCAUUAAUUGUUUAUGAUUGUCAAAGUCUUGUUUCGUUGCCGAGAAUGAAUGUGUGGCCGAGAAUGAUAGGGAUCAGAAAUUGCGAUAAAUUGGAGGUGGCACAGUUGGCGAGAGACAUGAUGCACACCAGUAAUCUUGAAGAUCUGAGAAUUGAUUACUUUGAAGGUUUGACAACUACAACUUCCUUCCCCACCAACCUAACAUCACUGUCAAUUGACAAGAUCAAGAAUUGUAAGGCGCUGAUGGAGUUUCAAGGGUUGCAGAGACUCGCCUCUUUGAGAGAAUUGUAUCUAUGGGGUGAAGAUGAUGGAGGUCUGGUGUCAUUUCCACCUGCGGCUGAGAAUUCAAAGGAGACGGAGAUACUGCUCCCCAGAUCUCUUGUUGAUUUGAGUAUUGUAGACUUCCCAAAUCUAAAGAAACUGAGCAAGGGCUUUCAAUUCCUCACCUCUCUUGAACGUCUUUGGAUCUGGAACUGUCCGAAGCUUACAACCCUUCCAGUGGAGGAAGGCCUGCCUCUUUCACUUGUGCGACUUGAUAUUUACAACUGUCCUCUACUUGAACAGAGAUACAAAGGACGAUACCGGCACAAGAUAGCACACAUCCCUGAAAUUGAUUUACUUCCCAAGGGGACUGAUUUUAAUUGCAUUGGUGAUGGGGUUGUAGAGGCCACUGUAAAGAAGAAGCUUAAUGUUAUGAGCAUUCAUCUGAUGAGUUCAAAGUCUUUGGUUGGAGUAGCUGGAGUUGCAUCAGAGAUUCAAAUGGAAAAAAAAGGGCGGGACGUGUAUGUUAUGGUGAGCUUCUUGAUGGGAACUCUGGAAGUUUACUUACUUAGUGCUGAGUAUUUGGGUUUCGAUCCAACCACCGACCCUAAAUCUCUCCAAAAUCGGCCACCGAUUAGCGCCCGCAUCUCUCCGGUGAGCGCAGCUAUGUACAUCAAGGAGGUGACCUUGGAAGGAUUCAAGUCCUACGCGACGCGGAUGGUGGUGCCGGGAUUCGACCCGUUUUUCAACGCCAUAACCGGCUAAACGGGUCGGGUAAGUCCAACAUUCUCGAUUCCAUUUGCUUCGUUCUGGGCAUCACCAACUUACAGCAAGUGAGGGCCGCCAAUCUGCAGGAGCUGGUGUGUAAGCAAGGCCAGGCAGGAAUUACUAAGGCCACUGUGUCGAUUGUCUUCGAUAAUUCGGACCGGGCGCGCAGUCCCCUCGGGUAUGAGGCCCAUUCGGAACUCACGGUCACGCGGCAGAUUGUGGUUGGUGGGAGGAACAAGUACUUGAUCAACGGGAAACUUGCGCAGCCGAGUCAGGUCCAGAAUCUUUUUCAUUCGGUGCAGCUCAAUGUGAAUAAUCCACAUUUUUUGAUUAUGCUAGGCCGAAUUACCAAGGUUUUGAAUAUGAAACCGCCCGAGAUUUUGUCUAUGCUUGAAGAGGCUGCCGGGACGAGAAUGUAUGAGACCAAAAAGGAAGCGGCUCUUAAGACACUUGAGAAGAAGCAGAGUAAAGUUGAUGAGAUAAAUAAGCUUCUGGACCAUGAGAUACUGCCUGCAUUGGACAAGUUGAGGAGAGAAAGGACACAGUAUAUGCAAUGGGCUAAUGGCAAUGCUGACUUGGAUCGGCUCAAGAGGUUUUGCAUUGCUUAUGAAUAUGUUCAAGCGGAGAGGAUAAGGGACAGUGCAGUUUAUGAGGUGGAACAAGUGAAGGCCAAUUUCUGAGGUUGAUGAUGAUACCAGAAAGAUGCAGGCAACAAUAAAGGAAAUGGAAACACAAGUGUCCAAGUUGACUGCUGAAAAGGAGGCUAGUAUGGGUGGAGAAGUGAAAAAUCUGUCUAACCAAGUAGAUGCGCUUUCUCAAGAUGUAGUGAGGGAAGUGUCUAUACUGGAUAAUAUGAAGGACAAUCUUGAUACUGAAAAUGAUAAUGCUAGAAUGAUCGCUAGCAACAUUGAAGACAUGAAACAAUCUCUAAAAGAUAGGGACUGUGCUAUAAGAAAUGCCGAAGAAGGAGCUGCUGAUUUGAAAAAGAGAGCGGAGGAACUUUCUCAUAGUCUGAAUGAGUAUGAGACUCAGUACCAGGGUGUAAUCGCUGGCAAGAGUAGUGGAAAUGAGGAUAAAUGCCUCGAAUAUCAAUUGGGUGAUGCCAAAAGAGCUGUAGGGAGUGCUGAAACAGAACUGGAACAGUUGAAAACAAAAAUUCGUCACUGUGAAAAGGAGUUGAAAGAGAAAAGUUCUCAACUAAUGUCAAAGCGUGAAGAAGCUGUUGCUGUAGAGAGUGAGCUGAAGGCUAGGAAAACAGAUGUUGAAAAUGUUAAAUUGGCACUGGAGUCUCUUCCAUAUAAGGAGGGCCAGAUGGAAGCUUUGCAAAAGGACCGAUCAUCUGAGUUGGAGUGUGUGCAGAAGUUGAAGGAUUAAAUGCGUAAUCUUUCAGUACACUUUGGAAAUGUUGACUUUUCUUAUAGAGAUCCUGUGAACAAUUUUGUUAGGUCUAAGGUCAAGGGUGUAGUUGCAAAACUUAUCAAAGUGAAGGAUAGCUCCACCAUGACUGCCUUAGAGGUCACUGCUGGUGGAAAGUUGUUUAAUGUUGUCGUAGACACAGAAAGUACUGGAAAACAACUUCUUCAGAAUGGCAAUCUUCGAAGAAGAGUAACAAUCAUACCCUUGAACAAAAUUCAAGCUCACACAGUUCCUCCUAGGGUUCAAAAUGCUGCUGCUAAAUUGGUUGGCAGAGAAAACGCAGAACUUGCACUUUCUUUGGUUGGCUAUGAUGAGCACCUGAGGAGUGCUAUGGAAUAUGUCUUCGGUUCAACCUUUGUGUGCAAGACUAUUGAUGCUGCAAAGGAGGUUGCUUUUAACAGGGAAGUUCGUACCCCUAGUGUCACUCUUGAAGGUGAUAUCUUUCAGCCCAGUGGUCUUUUGACUGGUGGAAGCCGCAAGGGUGGGGGUGAUCUGUUAAGGCAGCGUCAUGAGCUGGCUGAAGCUGAGCUAAAACUCUCUGAGCAUCAGAAAAAGUUGACUGAGAUUGAAGCUAAGAUAAGAGAAAUUCAGCCUCUUCACAAGAAGUUCAUGGAGCUUAAACAAUAGUUAGAACUCAAAUCAUAUGACCUUAAAUUAUUUCAGGGCAGGGCUGAACAAAAUGAGCAUCAUAAGCUUGGUGAAUUAGUAAAGAGGAUUGAGCAAGAGCUACAAGAAGCUAAUACUGCAGCCAAAGAAAAGAAACUUUUGCAUGAAGAUUGUGUGAAUAAAGUGUCAUUUCUUGAGAAAUCAAUCAAAGAGCACGACAACAGUCGGGAGGGAAGGCUGAAAGAUUUGGAAAAGAAGAUCAAAGAGACAAAAGCUCUACUCCAGUCAGCUUCAAAGGAUCUCAAGAUAGUGGUUCUUGUGAAUCAUUUGGCUGGCCUGCUUAAAUCACCUAUCGAAUUUUGGAUCUCAUACUAUUAUAAAUGUAAUUCCCUUGAGAAAAGGGUGAAUAAGAAAGUUAUGGCAAUGUUUGAGAAAGCAGAAGACGAGUACAAUGACCUAAUGUCUAAGAAGAACAUCAUUGAGAAUGACAAGUCUAAGAUCAAGAUGGUGAUUGAAGAGCUGGAUGAGAAAAAGAAGGAAACAUUGAAUGUUACUUGGGUCAAAGUUAACAAAGACUUACGGUCUAUCUUUUCUACCCUUUUACCCGGCACAAUGGGAAAGCUUGAACCUCCUGAAGGGUGUAGUUUCCUAGAUGGCCUUGAGGUGUGUGUUGCAUUUGGGGGUGAUUGGAAACAGUCUUUGUCAGAACUGAGUGGAGGUCAGCGAUCCCUGCUGGCACUUUCUCUGAUCUUGGCAUUGCUUCUCUUCAAACCAGCUCCUCUGUAUAUACUGGAUGAGGUUGAUGCAGCUCUUGAUCUAAGUCACACCCAGAAUAUUGGAAGAAUGAUCAAAAGUCAUUUCCCACACUCCCAGUUCAUUGUGGUUUCACUGAAAGAAGGCAUGUUCAAUAAUGCUAAUGUCCUUUUCCGGACAAAGUUUGUGGAUGGAGUUUCAACUGUUCAAAGGACCGUUGCUAAACAAAACAAGUGAUGCUGAUGUUUUACUUUAUCAUGGUGAAUGAUCCUUUCUUGUGAGGGCUUAUCUAUCUUCAACGUAUGUAUGAGAAACUUCUUGUUUGUCUACUACAUGUGCUAGUUGGUUCUGCAACCAAUUCCCAGCUCUCAUUUAGGUACAAAUGUAUAUGUAAAACUCUCUUGACGAUUGAGUAGUU
This is an RNA transcript of Fragaria vesca subsp. vesca, 10669 nucleotides long. RefSeq lists it as uncharacterized. The record is from RefSeq and is a predicted model, not a curated record. Lineage: Eukaryota; Viridiplantae; Streptophyta; Magnoliopsida; Rosales; Rosaceae. The transcript has 39 exons.